RNAcentral lists this ribosomal RNA (253 nucleotides) under uncultured bacterium. Its description in RNAcentral is "partial 16S ribosomal RNA". It matches the Rfam family "Bacterial small subunit ribosomal RNA", at positions 524 to 776 of the family's 1533-position model. The record is from RNAcentral.
UACGUAGGUGGCAAGCGUUGUUCGGAAUUAUUGGGCGUAAAGGGCGCGUAGGCGGUUUGUUAAGUCGGCUGUGAAAGCCCGGGGCUCAACCCCGGAGGGUCAGCCGAUACUGGCAGACUAGAGUACGGAAGAGGUAGCUGGAAUUCCCGGUGUAGCGGUGAAAUUCGUAGAUAUCGAGAGGAACACCGGUGGCGAAGGCGGCCUUCUGGACAGCAUCUGACGCUGAGACGCGAAAGCGUGGGGAGCAAACAGG